GCUCCCUUCGUCUAGUGGUAAGGACGCUGCCCUCUCAAGGCGGAAACAGGGGUUCAACUCCCCUAGGGAGCGCCA
This 75-nucleotide transfer RNA is filed under the name Gammaproteobacteria bacterium. RNAcentral describes it as "tRNA-Glu". It matches the Rfam family "tRNA". Rfam says of the family: Transfer RNA (tRNA) molecules are approximately 80 nucleotides in length. Their secondary structure includes four short double-helical elements and three loops (D, anti-codon, and T loops). Further hydrogen bonds mediate the characteristic L-shaped molecular structure. tRNAs have two regions of fundamental functional importance: the anti-codon, which is responsible for specific mRNA codon recognition, and the 3' end, to which the tRNAs corresponding amino acid is attached (by aminoacyl-tRNA synthetases). tRNAs cope with the degeneracy of the genetic code in two manners: having more than one tRNA (with a specific anti-codon) for a particular amino acid; and 'wobble' base-pairing, i.e. permitting non-standard base-pairing at the 3rd anti-codon position. The record is from RNAcentral. Lineage: Bacteria; Pseudomonadati; Pseudomonadota; Gammaproteobacteria.